This 67-nucleotide microRNA precursor is filed under the name Pan troglodytes (chimpanzee). RNAcentral describes it as "miRNA". Lineage: Eukaryota; Metazoa; Chordata; Mammalia; Primates; Hominidae. The record is from RNAcentral.
CCCGGUGAGGAUAUGGCAGGGAAGGGGAGUUUCCCUCUAUUCCCUUCCCCCAGUAAUCUUCAUCAUG